This 294-nucleotide unclassified non-coding RNA is filed under the name Hevea brasiliensis (rubber tree). The record is from RNAcentral. Lineage: Eukaryota; Viridiplantae; Streptophyta; Magnoliopsida; Malpighiales; Euphorbiaceae.
CGGGGGAUGGAUCAGGAGAAAGGCAUUUUGGGUGGCAAAACAGGUGCUGCAACUGGGCAUGGGGGAUGCUCUUGAAGAUUGGUUGAUUCAGAAAAUCCAGCGUUUACGCAAGGGAUCGUCCAUGGCGUCCGCUAUCACUCGCCUCGAACAGAUUCUGUGGCCUGGUGGGAUAUUCAUAAGCAAGCGUCCAAAGCAACCACCAUUGCCCGAAGGUUCGACUUCCGGCAACUACUCCAACGAAACCCUAUCUCCUCAGUCCCUAGAGGAACUGCAGCAGCAAGAAGCUGAUCGUCG